UCACAUAACCAGACAGGCAACAUGAAAGGGAUAUUGAGCACUCUGUUGGGACUUUUGUCCGUCCAGAUUUGCUGUGUAAGAGGAAAUCAGGUUGAGCAGAGUCCUCCAGCCUUGCUUCUCCAGGAGGGAGUGAACUCCACGCUGCAGUGCAACUUUUCUAAUACAGUAACCAGUGUGCAGUGGUUUCAGCAACAUCCAAGAGGAGGCCUCAUCGGCCUGUUUUACCUUGCUUCAGGAACAAAGCACAAUGGGAGACUCGUAGCCACGAUAGACACCAGGGAACGCCGCAGCUUGCUGUACAUCUCCUCUGCCCAGAAUACAGACUCUGCCACUUACUUCUGUGCUGUGAGAGACACAGUACUCCCUAGGCACCUGCAGCCUCUACACAAACCCUCAGCCUGGUGUAGUCCCUUUAAAUAGUUUCUUGUCUCUUUCCUGCAUUGGCAGUUUCACCCACAGUUGCUCCAUGGGUUUGGUCUUUUCUUCCCUUCUCAGUCUAUACCUCAUCAUUCACUACAAAUAACUUACUUGGAAUGAGCCAAGUGGCUGAUACAAGAUGGUAUCAAAAUAAAUUAACUGCAGUGUGUUGGAUCCCCAAAGGACAAAAUGUAAGAGCAAUAAAAAGAAGAAAAAAAAAGUUGGGAUAGAGAUGUUAUUGACAGCAGUGCAGCUUAGUUUAGUGUUUCCAGAACAUUCAGGCAUUUUCACUCUAAGUCAGCUUAGGCCUUCACAGGCCUAAGCUCCGCAGAUGAGGCACCUCCCACCUUCAACCACAGGUAACACCUCCAGCCCCCAACUGUAUAUAAAGGGUCCUCCAAGGAGCCAGAUGACGCCCUCUUCUCCCUUCCCUCGAGACAACUUAGCCUUGUCUGCUCUAU
Non-coding RNA from Dipodomys spectabilis (banner-tailed kangaroo rat), 878 nucleotides. NCBI's taxonomy places the organism in Eukaryota, Metazoa, Chordata, Mammalia, Rodentia, Heteromyidae. The record is from the annotation of a RefSeq genome assembly.